UACGGGGGGUGCAAACGUUGCUCGGAAUCAUUGGGCGUAAAGCGCACGUAGGCGGUCCAGUAAGUCGGGUGUGAAAGCCCUCGGCUCAACCGAGGAAGUGCAUUCGAAACUGCUGAACUUGAGUAUGGAAGAGGGUCGCGGAAUUCCCGGUGUAGAGGUGAAAUUCGUAGAUAUCGGGAGGAACACCAGUGGCGAAGGCGGCGACCUGGGCCAAUACUGACGCUGAGGUGCGAAAGCGUGGGGAGCAAACAGG
Molecule: ribosomal RNA, 253 nt
Filed under: uncultured bacterium
Lineage: Bacteria
Description: partial 16S ribosomal RNA
Rfam family: Bacterial small subunit ribosomal RNA
Source: RNAcentral